CCUACGGGAGGCAGCAGUGGGGAAUCUUGCGCAAUGGGCGAAAGCCUGACGCAGCCAUGCCGCGUGAAUGAUGAAGGUCUUAGGAUUGUAAAAUUCUUUCACCGGGGACGAUAAUGACGGUACCCGGAGAAGAAGCCCCGGCUAACUUCGUGCCAGCAGCCGCGGUAAUA
This 170-nucleotide ribosomal RNA is filed under the name uncultured bacterium. RNAcentral's name for it is "partial 16S ribosomal RNA". It matches the Rfam family "Bacterial small subunit ribosomal RNA", at positions 338 to 525 of the family's 1533-position model. The record is from RNAcentral.